AACGAACGCUGGCGGCACGUUUUAAGCAUGCAAGUCGAAUGGCAGUGGGGGCAACCCCAUGAGAAUGGCGAACGGGUGAGUAACACGUAGGUGAUCUGCCUGACGGAUGGGGAUAGCUUGUGGAAACACAGGGUAAUACCGAAUGAGCUGACGAGACUUUGGUUUUGUUCGUAAAGGUGCUACGGCACCGCCGACAGAGGAGCCUGCGGCUGAUUAGCUAGUUGGUGGGGUAAAGGCCUACCAAGGCUACGAUCAGGAGCCGGCCUGAGAGGGUGUACGGCCACACUGGAACUGAGACACGGUCCAGACUACUACGGGAGUCAGCAGCUAAGAAUCUUCCGCAAUGGGCGAAAGCCUGACGGAGCGAUGCCGCGUGAUCGAUGAAGGUCGAGAGAUUGUAAAGAUCUUUUCUACAUGAGGAAUAAGUCUGGGAGGGAAUGCCUGGAUGGUGACGUUAGUGUAGGAAUAAGCCCCGGCUAAUUACGUGCCAGCCGCCGCCGUAA
Molecule: ribosomal RNA, 503 nt
Filed under: uncultured bacterium
Lineage: Bacteria
Description: partial 16S ribosomal RNA
Rfam family: Bacterial small subunit ribosomal RNA
Source: RNAcentral